Molecule: ribosomal RNA, 301 nt
Filed under: uncultured bacterium
Lineage: Bacteria
Description: partial 16S ribosomal RNA
Rfam family: Bacterial small subunit ribosomal RNA
Source: RNAcentral
CAGUCGCCGCGGGAAUACAGAGGAUGCAAGCGUUAUCCGGAAUGAUUGGGCGUAAAGCGUCUGUAGGUGGCUUUUCAAGUCCGCCGUCAAAUCCCAGGGCUCAACCCUGGACAGGCGGUGGAGACUACCAAGCUGGAGUACGGUAGGGGCAGAGGGAAUUUCCGGUGGAGCGGUGAAAUGCAUUGAGAUCGGAAAGAACACCAACGGCGAAAGCACUCUGCUGGGCCGACACUGACACUGAGAGACGAAAGCUAGGGGAGCAAAUGGGAUUAGAUACCCGCGUAGUCCCUGUCUCUUAUAC